UGUUUUAUUAUUCUAUAUGUUAUGUAUAUAAAUUCAUUUUUAUCUUAAAUGUAAAUUGCCAGCAAACAUUUCCAUGGCCCGUGGCGAUUGGCGCUUAUAACUCAAUUAUUAUGACUCGGUUACCAUGAAAAUGAAGCUGCUGCUCAGAGUUUACGCGCAAUUUUCAGAUGAGCCAGGGAUUUAAUUAAAAAGAACAACCUGAUUGAGCUUAUAUACAAGUCUGGAGAAGCGUAGACCUGUUCCUUAUCGGGAGAACUAUAAAAAUAGUGUUGGAAAUCAUUUGCUUAAAAUUAUUGUCGAUUGUUCAUGCUGAGAACUUAUUGGAAAUGAGCAAGAAGCAUCUGCAAGCCCAUAAGCACCUCAGUCUGAACUCUGGAGCUCGAAGUGUAUCAGCGUUUCGGCCGAGUUACGUGAGUUUUUGACAAUCUCGACGCCCGUUUGAUUGUCGUGUAUGUGAAAGACAUGAUAGCCGGCGAUGGCGCCAUUCUGAUUCUUUGGCGGAUGCCAGGACAUUGUGAUGCUGUUCGCGGAGACAUCCAAGACGGUGAGAUUCUGAGGCUUGCUUGGCACUGCAAAAGAUAAAAGACAGAGAAAAAGUUGUUAAGCAUUACUUUAAGAUCUUGAGAGGACAGCUCUGAAUCCUUGAAGGUUGACAAUCAUAGAAAACUUUCUCUGAGCGGAGCAGCAAGUACUACACACACACACACACACAUACAAAUACAUAUAAAUUAUUUAUUAAACAACAAAU
Molecule: long non-coding RNA, 748 nt
Organism: Drosophila virilis
Lineage: Eukaryota; Metazoa; Arthropoda; Insecta; Diptera; Drosophilidae
Source: RefSeq, a predicted model, not a curated record